This 67-nucleotide transfer RNA is filed under the name Chikila fulleri (Kuttal caecilian). RNAcentral's name for it is "tRNA-Phe". It matches the Rfam family "tRNA". From Rfam's summary of the family: Transfer RNA (tRNA) molecules are approximately 80 nucleotides in length. Lineage: Eukaryota; Metazoa; Chordata; Amphibia; Gymnophiona; Chikilidae. The record is from RNAcentral.
GUUCAUGUAGUUUACUAAAAUAUAGCACUGAAAAUACUAAGACGGAAACUAAAACCUCCCAUGAACA